UUUGAUACGCGACCGCAGCACCGGGGCUCUGAGCCCUCGGGUUUCAAAGAGAGCCCCUGUGUGAGCACUGCGGGGUGCCUGCCCUCCCCAGCAUGAGCUUGCCCAGCCCUGCAGCCUCAGGAGCACAGCUUAAACUCAAGGAAACCCCAGAGCCCAGCAUGAAGUGAUUAAUGAGUGGAAAUCCCUGUGUUAACCUCGUUAGCUCCCACACAAUUUAGUUCCCUUCUUAAAGCCAGGCAGCACUCAGGGGAUUCUGGGGAGGGAAGAGAGCAGGUACUGUGCUCACCAGACCCCACAGGGGAGCCGUGCUUCCUGCUCUUCCCCAAAACCAGCAAUACAAACAGCUCCUCCCUUUGGCUACCAGGAUUUCGGCCAGCUCUCUCAGGACAGUGCUCACAGCUUUGCUUGUGGCCACAGCCCUGUGAGUGCUCCAGGUGCAGCAAAACACCUUUUGCCUGGGUUUUCUGCGCUUUGGGCUCUACGUGCUGCUUCUGGAGAAGCUUUCCCCAAAGCAUCCACCCCUCCUGGCAUCACCAGCACGGCAGGUACCAGGUCCUGCACCACGAUGUAAGGCUGGCAUUUGGUCUUUUCCUCCCAUCAGGCCUGCAAGAGGAGUGCAUCAUGUGGGGCUGGUUUCCUCACCACCACUGUGUUUCUCGCCGAGAAGCUCAUGCUGUGUUUGUGAUGCCACAACAUUAACAAGUGUCCAGAAAUCAGAAUCUUCUGCCUCAAAACACUUGCAACACAAAUAAGGUUGAGAAUGGGCAGGAGGAAAGCCAAGUUUCAUUAUGAUAUCGGCGUUAAACGACAGCUCCUUGGUAUAAGUUGCCAUCACCCCCUCGGGUCUGUCUGUGUUCCCCCAUCAGGAGUCUGCUCAGGGAGAGCCAAACCCCUUAAAUCCAGAGCUUAACCCAUAUCCAUAUUUCUUUUUUCUCCCCUCGUGGCUCUCUCUUGUCAGAUUUGGGUAUCCUUGGAUGUUUUUUGUUGUGUAUGUUGGCCAAAAAGUCUCACAGCUAGGGUGGUCGCUUUUCCUAGCAGGUAACAGCGAUCACAGAAGCAGCAUGACAAAACGUGCUGAAUAAA
This is a non-coding RNA of Anas platyrhynchos (mallard), 1083 nucleotides long. The record is from RefSeq and is a predicted model, not a curated record. NCBI's taxonomy places the organism in Eukaryota, Metazoa, Chordata, Aves, Anseriformes, Anatidae.